AUAGACACUUAAUAGCGCGUUUUUAAGUUUCAAAAGAUUGCGACCCCCCCGCCCUUUGCCUCACAAUGGUUUGAUCCACUGCCAGUUCCUUAGCUUGCUACGUAACUGCCGUGAGGUUCAUCCAGUCAAUCGCGCGCACACACACUAGCUGUAUAAGCAGAGCUAUUAACUAUUAAGCUAGCUAGUACCUAUUCCAUUUAUGUGGCGUCGUCAAAGAUGGAAUCAGCAUGCAGAUGAAGCAGAGCAGGCAACAGAUGGCACAGACAGCAGAGUUGGGGACAGAUGCAGGGACAGACUGGCAGAGACAGGAAGUCUCAGCUCUGGGGAACAGGGGAAGGAGCCUCCAGGACCCAGGCCACUGCCACUGCUUGGUAACAUGCUCCAGCUGGACCUCAAGAAGCCCUACUGCACUCUCUGCGAGGAUACAAGACGGUCAAGCAGGCGCUGGUGAAUCAGGACUUUGGGGACCGGGACAUCACUCCUGUGCUCAGUGAACUAAACCAAGGACAUGGGAUUCUGUUUUCCAAUGGAGACUCAUGGAAAGAGAGGCUCUUUGCCCUGACAAACCUUAGACUUUGGGAUGGGCAAGAAACUGAGCAAGGAGAAAAUCUUAGAGGAAAUUCACUACCUGACUGAAGUGUAUGAAAAACCUGAGGGUAAGGCAUUUGACACCGCCCAGCCUAUGAUUUAUGCCGUCUUCAACAUAAUCUCGGCCAUUGUCUAUGGCAGAAGGUUUGAAUACACUUACCAGAAUUUGCAUCUCAUGCAUAUUUAAUAACGUGUUGAAUUAAUAUUGCUCAGUAUAACUAUAGAAUCGAAUUAAUCGAUAAGGUUCGAGGGGCUGUGGUAUAUUGGCCAUAUACCACAAACCCAAAGGUGCCUUGUUGGUACUAUAAACUGUUAACCAACAUAAUUAGAACGGUAAACUAGUAAUUUUGCAUCAUACCGGCCAAUCAGCAUCCAGGAUCCAAAAAAGAAAAGAAAACCAGCCCUGUCGCAGACCACGAUGUCUUACUCCCAGACAAACGAAAUAACUUAUUUUCUCGCUUUGAGGACAAUACAGUGCCACCGACACGGCCCGCUACCAAAACCUGCGGGCUCUCCUUCACUGCAGCCAACGUGAGUAAAACAUUAAAACGUGUUAACCCUCACAAGGCUGCCGGCCCAGAUGGCAUCCCUAGCCGCGUCCUCAGAGCAUGCGCAGACCAGCUGGCUGGAGUGAGUACGGACAUAUUCAACCCUUAUCCCAGUCUACUGUUCCCACAUGCUUCAAGAGGGCGACCACUGUUCCUGUUCCCAAGAAAGCUAAGGUAAUUGAGCUAAAUGACUAUCACCCCGUAGCACUCAAUUCCGUCAUCACGAAGUGCUUUGAGAGGCUAGUCAAGGACCAUAUCACCUCCACCCUACCUGACGCCCUAGACCCACUCCAAUUUGCUUACCACACCAAUAGGUCCACAGACGAUGCAAUCGCAAUCACACUGCACACUGCCCUAACCCAUCUGGACAAGAGGAAUACCUAUGUAAGAAUGCUGUUCAUCGACUACAGCUCAGCAUUUAACACCAUAGUACCCUCCAAACUUGUCAAUAAGCUCGAGACCCUGGGUCUCGACCCCGCCCUGUGCAACUGGGUCCUGGACUUCCUGACGGGCCGCCCCCAGGUGGUGAGGGUAGGAAACAUCUCCACCCCGCUGAUCCUCAACACUGGGGCCCCACGAGGGUGUGUUCUCAGCCCUCUCCUGUACUCCCUGUUCACCCAUGACUGAGUGACCAUGCACGCCUCCAACUCAAUCAUCAAGUUUGCAGACAGUGGUAGGCUUGAUUACCAACAACGCCGAGACGGCCUACAGGGAGGAGGUGAGGGCCGGGGUCAGGAAAAUAACCUCAUACGCAAUGUCAACAAACUAAGGAGAAGAUCAUGGACUUCAGGAAACAGCAGAGGGAGCAGCCCCCUAUCUACAUUGACAGGACAGUAGUGGAGAAGGUGGAAAGUUCCUCGGCGUACACAUCAUGGACAAACUGAAAUGGUCCACCCACACAGACAGCGUGGUGAAGAAGGCGCAGUAGCGCCUCUUCAACCUCAGGAGCCUGAAGAAAUUCGGCUUGUCACCAAAAACACUCAAACUUUUACAGAUGCACAAUCGAGAUGCACAUUGAGGUCUGCACAACGCAUCACUGGGGGCAAACUAAUUGCCCUCCAGGACACCUACACCACCCGAUGUCACAGGAAGGCCAUAAAGAUCAUCAAGGACAACAACCACCCGAGCCACUGCCUGUUCACCCCGCUAUCAUCCAGAAGGCGAGGUCAGUACAGGUGCAUCAAAGCUGGGACCGAGAGACUGAAAAACAGCUUCUAUCUCAAGGCCAUCAGACUGUUAAACAGCCAUCACUAACACUGAGUGGCUGCUGCCAACAUUCUGACUCAUCUCUAGCCACUUUAAUAAUGUAAAAAUUGGAUGUAAUACAUGUAUCACUAGCGUUAAACAAUGGCACUUUAUAUAAUGCUUACAUACUCUAUACAAUCUACUGCAUCUUGCCUAUGCCGUUCAGCCAUUGCUCAUCCAUAUAUUUUUAUGUACAUAUUCUUAUUCAUUCCUUUACACAUGUGUGUGUAUAAGGUAGUUGUUGUUGAAUUGUUAGAUUACUUGUUAGCUAUUACUGCAUGGUCGGAACUAGAAGCACAAGCAUUUUGCUACACUCGCAUUAACAUCUGCUAACCAUGUGUAUGUGACAAAUAAAAUUCGAUUUGAUUUGAACUCAGUUUAUAAUUCUAAUUAUACCACCAUGUGGUGCACUUGGAUCCUGCAGCAGAACACAAUUCAUUUGACUUGUCCAACACUACCAUACCAAUGUGCACAGAUGUCAAUUCAACGUGUAUUCAACAUUGGUUCAACGUAAUUUCAUUGAAGUUAAGUAGAAACAACGUAGAUUCAUCCAGUGUGUGCCCAGUAUACAUAUGACUGAAUGCCAGAUGAGGGAGGAUAGAAUUACAGUUCUUAUCAGCAGAAUUUCAUGUAAACUCACAGACUCAAACACUAAAACACUUCCUCUAGCUGCUUUAAUAGAAUAUGUUGAUUAUCUGUGAAUAACUUAUAACAGAUCCUUAAGUAACUGUAGUACAUAAUUCAUGUGUCAUCUGAGGGUCUGUUUCUUUUAGGAAUCUGGCAAUAUGGCAAUAUAGAUUCUUUGUACCAUGAUAACAACCUGGUAUUUAGUGUUACUGUCAGUGGAAUUUUCUAUCCCAAUGAUAGUAAUUAACAAUCAAUAAGCUUUGACUAUUCCCCAAGGUUUGUAAGACACUGGGUUAAGAAUAAUUAGGCAAGGACUCAGCUGUCUGCAAAAGGUCUGUACAGUUUAUUCAGAGAACGUUCUGAAGUACAUUACACAAAGAUGUUCAUUUUAUGCUCACUCCCCGCUUACGCACAUACCUACACACAAACAAUAGAUAUCCUACGCACAUACAUACAAUUCACCUACUGUUCGUAUGUAUCCCUCCCCGGACUUCUCACCACUGUUAAUCACUAUCCAGUGCUGUCUGUUCCUUUCCCCCGAGAUUCGAGAAACCUUGAGGGUCACUCCCUUUCUUCUCUAAGUUACUCAAAGUUCCUCAGCUGCCGGGUCAAUCGCAGUCUACUUGUUGUUAUCUUAGGCCCACUAAAACACACACACACACACACACACAUUUUGUCCCAGGCCUCUAAUAGAUAUGGGCCUGUUAUGGGCCUGUCGAUUAGUACUUUAAUUAUUCAUUAUACAUGCUACAUAACUACUAAUUACUAAUUGGUUACGUGAUUCUUUAUUUUAUUCAUUUACCUUUAUUAUAUAAUUCCCUUAUCAGUUACUACCCUGUUUGGUGCUGGUACCGACACCACCGGGACAACCCUGCGCUGGGGUCUGCUGCUGAUGGCCAGGUACCCCCAUAUACAGGGUAAGGAUUGAUGUAAACACAAACGCAUGCACGCACACUCACCACAGGCUGCUGAGGGGAGGACGGCUCAUAAUAAUGGCUGGAAUGGAGUGGUACCGACACCACCGGGACAACCCUGCGCUGGGGUCUGCUGCUGAUGGCCAAGUACCCCCAUAUACAGGGUAAGGAUUGAUAUAAACACACACAGUUCUUGCCAUACAGUCGUGGGCCAAAAGUUUUGAGAAUGACAUAAAUAUUAAUUUCCACAAAGUUUGCUGCUUCAGUGUCUUUAGAUAUUUUUGUCAGAUGUUACUAUGGAAUACUGAAGUAUAAAUACAAGCAUUUCAUAAGUGUGAAGGCUUUUAUUGACAAUUACAUGAAGUUGAUGCAAAGAGCCAAUAUUUGCAGUGUUGACCCUUCUUUUUCAAGAUCUCUGCAAUCCGCCCUGGCAUGCUGUCAAUUAACUUAUGGGCCAUAUCCUGACUGAUGGCAGCCCAUUCUUGCAUAAUCAAUGCUUGGAGUUUGUCAGAAUAUGUGGGUUUUUGUUUGUCCACCCGCCUCUUGAGGAUUGACCACAAGUUCUCAAUGGGAUUAAGGUCUGGGGAGUUUCCUGGCCAUGGACCCAAAAUAUCAAUGUUUUGUUCCCCGAGCCACUUAGUUAUCACUUUUGCCUUAUGGCAAGGUGCUCCAUCAUGCUGGAAAAGGCAUUGUUCGUCACCAAACUGUUCCUGGAUGGUUGAGAGAAGUUGCUCUUGGAGGAUGUGUUGGUACUAUUCAUUAUUCAUGGCUGUGUUCUUAGGCAAAAUUGUGAGUGAGCCCACUCCCUUGGCUGAGAAGCAACCCCACACAUGAAUGGUCUCAGGAUGCUUUACUGUUGGCAUGACACAGGACUGAUGGUAGCGCUCACCUUGUUUUCUCCGGACAAGCUUUUUCCGGAUGCCCCAAACAAUCGGAAAGGGGAUUCAUCAGAGAAAAUGACUUUACCCCAGUCUUCAGCAGUCCAAUCCCUGUACCUUUUGCAGAAUAUCAGUCUGUCCCUGAUGUUUUUCCUGGAGAGUGUUACGUUCCCCAGUUUCUGUUGUGGUUUGUGUAUUUUCAUGUAUGUAUUUCAGGAAAUGGAUUCCUGAAAUGCUCUACAAGCAGCUGAUUGGUCAGCCCCAUUGAUGAUUGGAUAGCUGACCCCGCCCCCUCGUCAGGACGCAGCUGUCUCCAAUUACCAACUCCUUCUGAAGCUUUAUAAGCCAGUGUUCUGUUCCUCAGAAGGGAGAUGAUUGCUGAGAGAGAGAGGAGGCUGAUGGCUAUUAUGUUGGUUGUUGCUGGGGAGCUGAUUGGUAAAUUCUUUGUUGUUCAGAGUUUGGUUAAGUAUUGUGUAGGAGCUGAUUGGUUAUGUCUGUUGUGUCAAUAGGACGAAGUGUUUUGAUUAUUGAAAUUGUUUGAGUUAUUCUGUUGCAUUUGUUCCCAGGGGGGAAGGGGAAGGCACCUAGGGAGUGCUUAGGCAAGAGACCCACGGGCAUACAUAACCUGUAGUAUUUACUGUCUAUGCACACUAGGAAAGAUCUGGGUGGACCAUCCCCUGUAUUUUGGUUAGUGCACCAAGUGGUGUUAGUUAGGUAAGUAGUGGGUAGGCAGGUAAGGUGUGGGGGGGGCUUUGAUAUUUAAUUUCUUUGCUUUGGUUCCGUCCAGCCCAUUCCCAAAAAUUACCGUGCGACAGAAUAAAUUCCCUCUAAAUGGUAAUUCUCUGCCUUUUGUCAUCCUUACUCACACCUACAGUCCAUACCUCUUUCACA
RNAcentral lists this long non-coding RNA (5691 nucleotides) under Salmo salar (Atlantic salmon). RNAcentral's name for it is "lncRNA (ENSSSAG00000103079.1)". Lineage: Eukaryota; Metazoa; Chordata; Actinopteri; Salmoniformes; Salmonidae. The record is from RNAcentral.